This 467-nucleotide ribosomal RNA is filed under the name uncultured bacterium. RNAcentral describes it as "bacterial SSU rRNA". It matches the Rfam family "Bacterial small subunit ribosomal RNA", at positions 28 to 524 of the family's 1533-position model. The record is from RNAcentral.
GACGAACGCUGGCGGCAUGCCUAACACAUGCAAGUCUAGGGGUAGCAAUACCACUGGCGCACGGGUGAGUAACACGUAGGUUAUCUGCCCCCAUCACAGACAUAACCCCGGGAAACCGGGGCUAAUAUCUGAUGAGGUCGCGAGAUCAAAGCUUCGGCGGAUGGGGAUGAGCCUGCGGCUGAUUAGCUAGUUGGUGAGGUAAUGGCUCACCAAGGCGACGAUCAGUAGCUGGUCUGAGAGGACGAACAGCCACACUGGAACUGAGACACGGUCCAGACUCCUACGGGAGGCAGCAGUGAGGAAUAUUGGUCAAUGGGGAGCAAUCCUGAACCAGCAAUGCCGCGUGUGGGAUGACAGGGCUUCGCCUUGUAAACCACUGUCGGACGGGACGAAAGGAGGCCUCGGGCCUCUGGGACGGUACCGUCGAAAGGAAGGUCGGUUAACUACGUGCCAGCAGCCGCGGUAAU